CCGGACCUGACUGCUAUCGGAUUGGUACUAAGCCAUGCGAGUCAUUGUAGCAAUACAAGGCGGACGGCUCAGUAACACGUAGUCAACCUAACCUAUGGACGUGGAUAACCUCGGGAAACUGAGAAUAAACCGCGAUAGAUCAUUAUGCCUGGAAUGGCUUAUGGUUCAAACAAUUUAUUGCCGUAGGAUGGGACUGCGGCCUAUCAGCUUGUUGGUGAGGUAAUGGCCCACCAAGGCUAUAACAGGUACGGGCUCUGAGAGGAGAAGCCCGGAGAUGGGUACUGAGACACGGACCCAGGCCCUAUGGGGCGCAGCAGGCGAGAAACCUUAGCAAUGUGCGAAAGCACGACUAGGUUAAUCCGAGUGAUUCCUGUUGAAGGAAUCUUUUGUCAGUCGUAAAACCACAGACGAAUAAGGGGUGGGCAAGUCUGGUGUCAGCCGCCGCGGUAAUACCAGCACCUCGAGUGGUCAGGAGGUCUAUUGGGCCUAAAGCAUCCGUAGCCGGCUUUGCAAGUCUCCGGUUAAAUCCAGCUGCUCAACAGAUGGGCUGCCGGAGAUACUACACAGCUAGGGAGCGGGAGAGGCAGACGGUAUUCUGUGGGUAGGGGUAAAAUCCAUUGAUCCAUAGAGGACCACCAGUGGCGAAAGCGGUCUGCCAGAACGCGUUCGACGGUGAGGGAUGAAAGCUGGGGGAGCAAACCGGAUUAGAUACCCGGGUAGUCCCAGCUGUAAACGAUGCAAACUCGGUGAUGCAUUGGCUUAUGGCNAUGCAGUGCNCAGGAAGCGUUAAGUUUGCGCUGGGAAGUACGGACGCAAGUCUGAAACUUAAAGGAAUUGGCGGGG
This 843-nucleotide ribosomal RNA is filed under the name uncultured archaeon. RNAcentral describes it as "bacterial SSU rRNA". It matches the Rfam family "Archaeal small subunit ribosomal RNA", at positions 17 to 873 of the family's 1478-position model. The record is from RNAcentral.